UACGUAGGGGGCUAGCGUUGUCCGGAAUCAUUGGGCGUAAAGCGCGCGCAGGCGGCGGUGCUGGCCCGGCGUGAAAGCCCCCGGCUCAACCGGGGAGGGUCGUCGGGGACCGCACCGCUUGAGGGCGGUAGGGGCUGGUGGAAUGCCUGGUGUAGUGGUGAAAUGCGUAGAGAUCAGGCGGAACACCCGUGGCGAAGGCGGCCAGCUGGGCCGUCCCUGACGCUGAGGCGCGAAGGCGUGGGGAGCGAACGGG
This 253-nucleotide ribosomal RNA is filed under the name uncultured bacterium. RNAcentral's name for it is "partial 16S ribosomal RNA". It matches the Rfam family "Bacterial small subunit ribosomal RNA", at positions 524 to 776 of the family's 1533-position model. The record is from RNAcentral.